ACCUACGUGGCUUAAUCAGGAAGAGGUGCGUCGAAAGGUCUUCUAUCAGAGUCAUUGGAUUGUGGCCAAGUGGCAUCGAUCCGACGGCAAAUCUAAUUGAUCUGGAUCGUUGACGUGCACUAUAAAAAAAUCUGUAUUUUGCUUGAAAACCACUUGUUUCUUUGCACGAAAGUCAUGUCAAGAUUUUUCCAGAUCUUUCCCAACAUCACCAAUGUUGGAGAAGCAAUUUUUUGGUGUCAC
This 240-nucleotide long non-coding RNA is filed under the name Elaeis guineensis (African oil palm). RNAcentral describes it as "long non-coding RNA (EGUI_LNC029873)". Lineage: Eukaryota; Viridiplantae; Streptophyta; Magnoliopsida; Arecales; Arecaceae. The record is from RNAcentral.